GACAGAGGGGCCGAGCGUUAGGCGGAAUCACUGGGCUUAAAGCGUGUGUAGGCGGAUCGUUAAGGACCUUGUGAAAUCCCACGGCUCAACCGUGGAACUGCUGGGUAUACUGGCGGUCUUGAGCCACCUAGGGGCGAGCGGAACAAGCGGUGGAGCGGUGAAAUGCGUAGAUAUCGCUUGGAACGCCAACGGUGAAAACAGCUCGCUGGGGGUGUGCUGACGCUGAGACACGAAAGCCAGGGGAGCGAACGGG
Molecule: ribosomal RNA, 253 nt
Filed under: uncultured bacterium
Lineage: Bacteria
Description: partial 16S ribosomal RNA
Rfam family: Bacterial small subunit ribosomal RNA
Source: RNAcentral